This 399-nucleotide ribosomal RNA is filed under the name uncultured bacterium. Its description in RNAcentral is "partial 16S ribosomal RNA". It matches the Rfam family "Bacterial small subunit ribosomal RNA", at positions 360 to 776 of the family's 1533-position model. The record is from RNAcentral.
AAUAUUGGACAAUGGGCGCAAGCCUGAUCCAGCAAUGCCGCGUGAGUGAUGAAGGCCUUCGGGUUGUAAAGCUCUUUCGCCCACGACGAUGAUGACGGUAGUGGGAGAAGAAGCCCCGGCUAACUUCGUGCCAGCAGCCGCGGUAAUACGAAGGGGGCUAGCGUUGUUCGGAAUGACUGGGCGUAAAGGGCGCGUAGGCGGCGCAUCAAGUCGGGCGUGAAAGCCCCGGGCUCAACCUGGGAACUGCGUUCGAGACUGGUGCGCUGGAGUUCGGGAGAGGAGAGUGGAAUUCCCAGUGUAGAGGUGAAAUUCGUAGAUAUUGGGAAGAACACCGAUGGCGAAGGCAGCUCUCUGGACCGAUACUGACGCUGAGGCGCGAAAGCGUGGGGAGCAAACAGG